UUUCGCCUGAGGUGUGCGUUGCGAGUUACGUCCCUGAGCCGAUAUUAAAAUCUCCCUGAGCUGGAUAUUAAACUGUUGGUGAGCAGGCUCGCUUGCGAGAAGCCUAAAAAUGGUUACGUCCGGCUCCCUUGAACCGUCUGGUUCAAGGACCAUUACUGGUAACGGCACUUCGGGUCUUUU
This 180-nucleotide non-coding RNA is filed under the name Bibersteinia trehalosi. RNAcentral's name for it is "6S RNA". It matches the Rfam family "6S / SsrS RNA". From Rfam's summary of the family: E. coli 6S RNA was the first non coding RNA to be sequenced, but its function was unknown until recently. It consists of 184 nucleotides that fold into an extended hairpin structure with a large single-stranded internal bulge. Lineage: Bacteria; Pseudomonadati; Pseudomonadota; Gammaproteobacteria; Pasteurellales; Pasteurellaceae. The record is from RNAcentral.